CGAUGAACCACUUCGGUGGGGAUUAGUGGCGAACGGGUGAGUAACACGUGGGCAAUCUGCCCUUCACUCUGGGACAAGCCCUGGAAACGGGGUCUAAUACCGGAUACCACUCUCACGGGCAUCUGUGAGGGUUGAAAGCUCCGGCGGUGAAGGAUGAGCCCGCGGCCUAUCAGCUUGUUGGUGAGGUAACGGCUCACCAAGGCGACGACGGGUAGCCGGCCUGAGAGGGCGACCGGCCACACUGGGACUGAGACACGGCCCAGACUCCUACGGGAGGCAGCAGUGGGGAAUAUUGCACAAUGGGCGAAAGCCUGAUGCAGCGACGCCGCGUGAGGGAUGACGGCCUUCGGGUUGUAAACCUCUUUCAGCAGGGAAGAAGCGAAAGUGACGGUACCUGCAGAAGAAGCGCCGGCUAACUACGUGCCAGCAGCCGCGGUAAUACGUAGGGCGCAAGCGUUGUCCGGAAUUAUUGGGCGUAAAGAGCUCGUAGGCGGCUUGUCACGUCGGGUGUGAAAGCCCGGGGCUUAACCCCGGGUCUGCAUUCGAUACGGGCUAGCUAGAGUGUGGUAGGGGAGAUCGGAAUUCCUGGUGUAGCGGUGAAAUGCGCAGAUAUCAGGAGGAACACCGGUGGCGAAGGCGGAUCUCUGGGCCAUUACUGACGCUGAGGAGCGAAAGCGUGGGGAGCGAACAGGAUUAGAUACCCUGGUAGUCCACGCCGUAAACGGUGGGAACUAGGUGUUGGCGACAUUCCACGUCGUCGGUGCCGCAGCUAACGCAUUAAGUUCCCCGCCUGGGGAGUAC
This 801-nucleotide ribosomal RNA is filed under the name Streptomyces sp. RNAcentral's name for it is "bacterial SSU rRNA". It matches the Rfam family "Bacterial small subunit ribosomal RNA", at positions 67 to 883 of the family's 1533-position model. The record is from RNAcentral. Lineage: Bacteria; Bacillati; Actinomycetota; Actinomycetes; Kitasatosporales; Streptomycetaceae.